RNAcentral lists this ribosomal RNA (253 nucleotides) under uncultured bacterium. RNAcentral's name for it is "partial 16S ribosomal RNA". It matches the Rfam family "Bacterial small subunit ribosomal RNA", at positions 524 to 776 of the family's 1533-position model. The record is from RNAcentral.
GACGUAGGGCGCAAGCGUUGUCCGGAUUUAUUGGGCGUAAAGAGCUCGUAGGCGGCCUGUCGCGUCGACCGUGAAAACCCGCAGCUCAACUGCGGGCUUGCGGUCGAUACGGGCAGGCUGGAGUUCGGUAGGGGAGACAGGAAUUCCUGGUGUAGCGGUGAAAUGCGCAGAUAUCAGGAGGAACACCGGUGGCGAAGGCGGGUCUCUGGGCCGAUACUGACGCUGAGGAGCGAAAGCGUGGGGAGCGAACAGG